AUUCUUUUGUGAUUCAUAGAGUGAGGAUUGGGUUUUCAUGCCAUUUCUGUGAGGUGUGUCUCCCUCAAACUGUGUUAAAGUGUUUUUCCAUCGUUUGGCA
Oryctolagus cuniculus (rabbit) is the source of this 100-nucleotide small nucleolar RNA. Lineage: Eukaryota; Metazoa; Chordata; Mammalia; Lagomorpha; Leporidae. The record is from Ensembl.